RNAcentral lists this ribosomal RNA (869 nucleotides) under uncultured archaeon. Its description in RNAcentral is "bacterial SSU rRNA". It matches the Rfam family "Archaeal small subunit ribosomal RNA", at positions 39 to 915 of the family's 1478-position model. The record is from RNAcentral.
UGAACUAAGCCAUGCGAGUCAUUGUAGCAAUACAAGGCAGACGGCUCAGUAACGCGUAGUCAAUCUACCCUAUGGACGGGAAUAACCUCGGGAAACUGAGAAUAAUGCCCGAUAGAACAUUAUACCUGGAACGGUUUAUGUUUCAAAUGAUUUAUCGCCGUAGGAUGGGACUGCGGCCUAUCAGUUUGUUGGUGAGGUAAUGGCCCACCAAGACUAUUACAGGUACGGGCUCUGAGAGGAGUAGCCCGGAGAUGGGUACUGAGACACGGACCCAGGCCCUAUGGGGCGCAGCAGGCGAGAAAACUUUGCAAUGUGCGAAAGCACGACAAGGUUAAUCCGAGUGGUUUCUGCUAAAGAAACCUUUUGCUAGUCCUAGAAACACUAGUGAAUAAGGGGUGGGCAAGUUCUGGUGUCAGCCGCCGCGGUAAAACCAGCACCUCAAGUGGUCAGGAUGAUUAUUGGGCCUAAAGCAUCCGUAGCCCGUUUUGUAAGUUUUCGGUUAAAUCCAUACGCUCAACGUAUGGGCUGCCGGGAAUACUGCAUAACUAGGAAGUGGGAGAGGUAGACGGUACUCGGUAGGAAGGGGUAAAAUCCUUUGAUCUAUUGAUGACCACCUGUGGCGAAGGCGGUCUACCAGAACACGUUCGACGGUGAGGGAUGAAAGCUGGGGGAGCAAACCGGAUUAGAUACCCGGGUAGUCCCAGCUGUAAACUAUGCAAACUCAGUGAUGCAUUGGCUUGUGGCCAAUGCAGUGCUGCAGGGAAGCCGUUAAGUUUGCCGCCUGGGAAGUACGUACGCAAGUAUGAAACUUAAAGGAAUUGGCGGGGGAGCACCACAAGGGGUGAAGCCUGCGGUUCAAUUGGAGUCAA